RNAcentral lists this ribosomal RNA (468 nucleotides) under uncultured bacterium. RNAcentral's name for it is "partial 16S ribosomal RNA". It matches the Rfam family "Bacterial small subunit ribosomal RNA", at positions 28 to 507 of the family's 1533-position model. The record is from RNAcentral.
GACGAACGCUGGCGGCGUGCUUAACACAUGCAAGUCGAACGGUAAGGCCCUGCUUUGGUGGGGUGCUCGAGUAGCGAACGUGUAAGUAUCACGUGAGUAACCUUCCCUUGUCGUUGGGCUAACUUCAGGAGAGUCUGGCUAAUACCGGAAAGGAGUGCCUGCUGCAGGGUGGGGGUUGGAAUGUUUCGGCGGUUGGGGAUGGACGCGCGGCCUAUCAGCUUGGUGGUGGGGUAGUGGCUUACCAAGGCUUUGACGGGUAGCCGGCCUGAGAGGGUGACCGGCCACAUUGGGACUGAGAUACGGCCCAGACUCCUACGGGAGGCAGCAGUGCGGAAUAUUGCACAAUGGGCGGAGGCCUGAUGCAGCAACGCCGCGUGCGGGAUGACGGCCUUCGGGUUGUAAACCGCUUUCGCCUGUGACGAAGCGUGAGUGACGGUAAUGGGUAAAGAAGCACCGGCUAACUACGUG